Molecule: long non-coding RNA, 2946 nt
Filed under: Olea europaea subsp. europaea
Lineage: Eukaryota; Viridiplantae; Streptophyta; Magnoliopsida; Lamiales; Oleaceae
Source: RNAcentral
AGGUGGAUGAAAAUGAUUUGAUGAAAACAAUGACAGUGUUUUAAACAGUUCAAUGAUAAACUGUCAUAUGACAUUAUGUCAAUUUAGAUGUCAACAAAUGUGGAACUGUAGCAUGACUGAAAGGGAGGAAGAGAGAUGGACGUCGAGAGGAGGGCAUACACAUUUACUGACGAACAAAACCCAUGGCCUAAGCUGUCUCUAUCUCUCUCAAAGUCUUCCUCUUUCUUAAUCUUCAGCUUUCAUAUGUACAUAUUCAUAAGUGCAUUUCAUACAUCAAUCUUCAACCAAGGAAAAUCAGAUUUCUUGUUGAUUGAAAUCUUCAAAGGUAAGGUAGUGCACGAUCUCUCUCUCUUAAUUUGUGAGUAUUACUGAACUCCUAACUAGUUUCUGGUGGAAAGUGCAAUGUGUUCCAAACUAUUCAUUGUUUUCUGAUAAUAAAUUGUUUGUGACAGUACUUACAAAGGUAGCGUGAAAUCAUGUUGCAGAAGAAUCUGAUGGAGGAGAAGCAACAGCUGAAUUAUGACCAGCCACUUCUGUCGGUGAGAAGAUUCUCGCCAAUGGUAGCCUCAGAGAAACAUAAUGCAAGGAAAGCAGACAAAUCCCUCCCUGGUAUACCUCGGCUUCCUCUUUAUAAAACAGAAUUGAAAUCGGGUCCUGUAACGAAUCCAGGAACGGUACCUUUUCUCUGGGAACUGCGCCCUGGACGACCGAAGGAAGAGAUGAAACCACAGAGUGAAAACUCUGACAGACUUCCGAUUGCCCCGAAACUUCCUCCUGGGAAAUCUUCGAUAGUCAAUAAGAGCCAAGCAAUAAAUGUUGAAGCGGUAAACAAUUUCGAGAGAUGUAACAAAACAAUAGAGAAGGAGACUUUUCAUUUGGGGGAUAGUGAUGAAGCAUAUGCCGAUGCACUCGAUACAUUCUCAAGCACUGAAUCAAUUUUCUUUAAUUGUAGCACGAGUGGCUUAAGUUCAUUGGAUGAACUAGAGGUGAAACCAUCUGGAACUUUUUCGACGGAUCCAUUGACAAGAGAAUUCAUGAUGGAGCGGUUCCUCCCUGCAGCAAAGGCUAUGGCAUCAAAGACACAUUUAUAUGCCACCAAAAAGCAAACCAUAGUCCAAGAAAAACCAAGAGAAAUAAAGAUAUUAAUUAAUCCAGAUAAGCCUUCAAUGCAGCACGGACCUAGUCUUGUAAAGCACUAUUUACAAUUCCAAGACAAUGAAGAGGUAGAAGAAGAAAGUGACGAGGAUUAUGAUCUAAACGGAAAUUUUCCCGCAGUUUGUGGGUUACUACCGCGGUUCUGCUUAAAUCACUCGUUCUGUCUCAUACAUCCUGUAACUGCAACGAGCACGAGGACCCGAUUACCAAAGUCUUCGGUUAAUAAAUUGCACGACAGAUCUUCAGCUGCUACUUCUUAUAGUAAAAGAGACGCUGAGGUAAAAAAAAAAAAACAAAUCAUAGUUUUCUUUCUCGUGUCCCCCUAUGUGCUUAUGUUUCCUAAUCUUCGUCCUGGGGUUUUUGAUGACUAAGUUGUAUAUUGGCUGCAGUCUAGGUCUAAUUUUUCUGAUCGAAAUUCCGUUGGUACUCAGAAUAGUUUGAGAACUGACUUCAAUUCAAGUAGCCGUCAGAGACAGAAUCCUGAUGGAUCAUUUCUAGGCAAGCAACUAGAAGAACACAGCACAUCAAAAUCAUUCGAUAAAUCGCCUAAUAAAGAAAAAGGAGUCAUCAUUUUUCCCAAAGAAUCAAAGAAUCAGGGGAUUAAUGGCUUCGGAUCACAUAAAAAGGGCCAUAAAACCUUUUGGGAUUUCUUGUCUGAGAAGGACAGUUCAGAGGAAUCAUGUUCAGGAAUUCCUGUUCUGGAGAGAACUCUGUAUCUCGACGCUGUACAGAAAAUAAAAUCUCCGAUCAGGGAACCUUUUUCUCCCAAUAUGCAAGGGUCGAAGGAACAGCCUAGUUCGAGUGAAAAAGAGUAUAAAGUUGUCACUUCCCCUUUAGUAGAUUGUUCUCUUAAAGAUACCGAUGCGUUGGAAACUGUAUAUGGAGCGAAAUUACUGCCUCACUCUCAGAAAUAUGACAUCAUUGUAGAAUCUUCAACCAGCGUUUCAAAUCAAAAAGGCAGAAGAGAGGCAUCGAAGGAUUCAGCUACUGCUGCGAAUGAUGAAGUGACUGAUAAAAAAGCUGCCGAAAAUUUACAGAACUCAAAAACAGAAAAUCUAGAAAACUUUCACCAUGCUGGAUUUCAGUUUCCCGUCACCCCACCUUCGCCAAUAUCUCCAUCCGAGUCUAGGCUUCAACAAACUGUGCCUUCUAUAUCCACAGAGAAUUCAUGUAAACGAUCCCAUCUUCGUGCAGCAGAAUAUCCUCAAAAACAAGUUUCCAAGGUGCUACCAGCAGAUCUCAAAUGCGAAACUCUUGUUAAAACUACAAAGGUGCAGCAGCAUUAAUUUUUGUUAUUCCGAGGUGAAUUUGCUCAUCACUUUUACUAAUUAAAAUCAUUCUUUAACUCGUUUCAUAUGUUUAUGCAGGAUAAAAUCAGAUCCUAAUAGGAGCUUUUGACUGCAAUCCUCCGGCUCGUAUUCAGCCAUUCUGUUGCCAAAUCCAUUGGCCCUUUCGGUAAUUAAGUGUCAUAGUCAAGAUUUUUCACUUGUAUAGCAUUUAGAUUUGAGUGCUACACAUAAACACAUGUAAAUAAAAACAUAGGGGAAAAAUAAUACAUAGAUCCCGAAAGCUUUGUAUAUGAUUUACAUUGCAUUGUGCUUAAGACACCCCAAUGUGAGAGCUACGUCUACAAAUUAAGUAAUUUUACGAGAUUCUUGAAAGGCAUCCUAAUUAGUACUUGAAUGUAGACCUGGAUGUUAUGGGAUGGAAUUGUGGUUAAUAAGAUUUUUUUGACCCUUUUUUGCUUUUAUCCUAUAAUCUCGUGUCUUCUACGUUGAUGGUAAUUAAAAA